Molecule: ribosomal RNA, 723 nt
Filed under: Triticum aestivum (bread wheat)
Lineage: Eukaryota; Viridiplantae; Streptophyta; Magnoliopsida; Poales; Poaceae
Description: partial small subunit ribosomal RNA
Source: RNAcentral
AUGGAAUUGAGACAUUUAGGGAAGCUUAUCCAUCUUGUAGUUAUUCCUCUGGUCAAGCAUUGUCCCCGUGAAAUCUUGGAGGAGUGGACAGUCAACUUAUUAGAGCCCAUACUAUUGGAGUGUGAGGAUAGACUUCAUGGUACUUGGUUUUAUCUUCUUUAUAAAAGACAAGCACACAACCUUUUUAACUAUGGUAAUCUUGUUGGAGAAGAUGAACAAAUAAAUAAAAUGGGAUAUAAGCUACUGCUAGAGUUUACUCGAAAGAUGUCAGAUUUGCUUGAGGCCUUAGCAUUUAUGGAAAAAACUGUUGUGCCUCUACAUGAAGAUGUUAAACCUAUCUGCAACAAGGACACUGUCUCUUCUCAAGAUUUGAACUCUAUGGCACCAUCUUCUUUCUGCAGGUUUCUUCUACAUCAUAAUUUCUUUGAGAAGUUGAGGAUGAGCUUCUUUGGAUACUUUGUGGAUGAUAAAGCAGCAAUCAAGGCUCUUCACUUUUGCUGUUAUCUGAUUCAGCUUGCAGUUUCCACAAAUGAUGUGCGGCUUGAGCGUUUGAUUGUAGAUGAUCUGCUCCCGUGUUUGAUUCGGCGUCUAGACAAUGAGCUCCAAUGUGCAACCCAAAGUCUAAGACAUGAAUCAGGGUCAAGUACAGAUGGUAGUGUGGACAAAGAGCUGCAUGCUCUUUGUGAAGACUUGUAUGUUUAUCUGGUAAAGGUAAGCUAUUAA